Long non-coding RNA from Paramormyrops kingsleyae, 2793 nucleotides. RefSeq lists it as uncharacterized. The record is from RefSeq and is a predicted model, not a curated record. Lineage: Eukaryota; Metazoa; Chordata; Actinopteri; Osteoglossiformes; Mormyridae.
UUAAGUUUUCGCGACCUGUAAAUGCUUACGUUACCUCAUCUCAUGGCCGCAUAUUUUGCAUUAUGUCACUAUUUCAUUUGUAACAAAUUUAUCGGCUUCCUUUUGACUUGGAAACCCAAAAUGGUUCCACACCGGCGACUUCGCUGGAGUGAUGCCAAUGCUGUCCUCCUCAGCUGACAUUUUUCACAGAAUUGCAGUAGAUCGAAUGGCGCCAAGUCAUAAAACAAUCUGCGUGCAAAUUUUAUUUUUUAAAACACUUUAAAUGUCGAAGACAGCACAUAUCUGCAAUGUUUUAAAUACAGUGUGUCUUUACUGUUGUCAGAUACUCAUUUUGCGAUCUCAUUUUUAUAUUUAUGUGCAUGUCGUGAUGUUUGCCGUAAAGAGCCUCACAUCAGAACACGUGACUGCUGUAAACAUUACAAAAGACCGUCGAUUGCAUUUUUGUUUUUUGUUCUUUUGCUAAAUAGACAAGAAUAAGUUCUGAUUUUAUGAAUAUUCAAAUAUUUACCAUGCGAAUAAUGAAUAUGUAUUCAACGACAGGGCAAUAUUCGGUGCACCGAAUAUUCGAGUGUAUCGUAAUGGCUCUGUCACACAAUGUACAUCAUUAUUGACUAUGUGCUAAUUUCUGCUAGCAUGUCUUUGAGCACUGCCGUCUUACGUUUGCUUGCAUAAUUUCGCUUGCAUAAAUGUGAAUUACGAAUCGAUUCUGUUCAGCUGUUCUACAGUACAUUUUAAAUAGGUAGUUGGAAAUUUUCAAGUUCCAAGUUACUGGGAAAGCGUCAUGCGUGAUACUGCUAAUAAUGAAUAAUAUAUAGAAUAUACCUUUUUCCCUUUAGAUAAUCCAUGCAUAUCGACACAGAACAACAGUACCUCCAUGAAUGUUGACCAAUCAGAUGAUGGUGAUGCAACCUGCUCAGUUUGGUCAUGCUCUUGGCCCUGCUGUCAGCACAGGGCAAUCUCGUGGAACACGAAAAUGCAUCCUAAGGAAGAGGUCAUGGCAAUCACAAACCCACAACCCCGGAGGUGUGAGGCAACAGUGCUAACCACUAAGCCACUGGGCUGUCUGCAUUACCCUUGCAAGGCCCCAACCUGCCCAUAUAAGCGUGGAGCCCCCUGCUGGCCUGUCCUGCGGCUCCUCCUCUGAGGCAUGCUGCUUGCUAGCAGUAGCUGCACUGCCCCCUAUCUUCACCUUGCUCUGCAGGAAUUAGUCUGAUUAAAGAGCUCAGGGCAAGCCCUUGACCAGGAGGCUACUUACACCUUACAGGGUGUGCAGACCUACCUCAUGAUGACCACCUGGACAAACGGCCUGUCUGUGUUUUUACACAAUCUUUCAUAAAAAACACAAAAACAACAAACACGACACCAUGACAAAAAAACAACUAUGUCCAUCAUGAUACUCAAACUCCUACGACAAGACAGCGCAAAGGCGGCGGGGGUGUUUGUCAACAAAAACAGAGGAGUAACAGCAGCAAAGAUUUCACACCGGCAGUCUUCUUGGGGGAGCUCCUACGGAGGACUGACUCCAUUCUUCCACAUGCCUGCAUUUGCUGAUUUAAAACAAAGGCUAUGGUUCAAAAUAAAAAAAUAUAAAAAAAUUAACUUUUCUCCAUACUAUACACUGACAAAGUAUCAUUAGCAGUCAUGCACAAGCAACACAAAACAGCUCUCUUUAGAAAUAAAAGCUUCAUUUAGCCCCUUGCCUUCAUCUGGCUGGGUGUUGCGAGCAUGUGGGGAGGGGGGGCAGGCCCUUGGUCCCUGGAGCCUUGCUCAGAUGAUCAGCUGCACACAGAGCCAACGCCUGGGUCACAAGACAACCUCCCCCCCAUUCCCUUGAUUAUGGAGACUGUUCAACCCAAAUGGUAGUGGAGUACAGCUGUAAAAGGCCUGUCGGACAGUCAGCAAGGAUGGAUUCAAUACUUUCUUCAAAACUAAUUUCAAUAGCAUUUAAACCCAUCAUGCCUCACUCCUAAUAUAGACUGGAUUAUUGACUGAAAGAUAAAAAGUACAGGUUUUUACAUGUCUUUCUCUAACAUGUAAUUCAUUUACAAUGACAACAGCAAAUAUUCCUUGCCAAGGAAUCUGCUUAUCGUGAUAAAGGGCUGCACGUUUUAGCACGUUCAUGGCCACGUUAGCUUAACAGGUGAUGCGGGAAAACUACAUAAAACCAUAGAGACUGUUCACACCAUCAAUGAGCUACAAAUCCAGGGGAAAGACAGACACACAGACAGACAGACAAAGAGAGAGACACACUAACCAUAACCCUUUACAGAACUUCACGUCUGCAGUUUAACAGACUACAAUCACAGCACUCCAACUUACAAGGAAAGCCUAGGGGGCAUUUUAAAAACCACCCCCUUUCCAUUGAAAGGAAGUUCUUCCCUAACUGAUGAACGACUGGGAUGUUCAGCAAUCAGGCAAGUGCCAAGGAUGGCUAUGUGCACCAUCAUGCCAAAGCAUUACAACGGACACACAAGAAGAACAGUACAGAUAUAUCACCACCUGCUAAAUGCCGCAUUUGUACUGACUAUGUACAAAACACAACUGAGCAGAGGGUAAUGAGACAGAGUCAUGACCAAGAGGCUACCAGGUCAAGCUCUCGGGCAGUAGAGAGGAGGCUUUUCUGGCAAAAUACUUGUACUGCUUUGAACAGGUUUUAAGUCUGAAAUCUAACUGUAAGUCACUCUGGAAUCAAGCAGGCAAAUAAAUAAUGCAUGAAAAUAAUGUGAAAUGUGCUGAUAAAACCAAAAAUCUCCUGGGAGACCACAGAGAACUGCACAGCACUCUGCCUUCCUG